This 497-nucleotide ribosomal RNA is filed under the name uncultured bacterium. Its description in RNAcentral is "partial 16S ribosomal RNA". It matches the Rfam family "Bacterial small subunit ribosomal RNA", at positions 28 to 507 of the family's 1533-position model. The record is from RNAcentral.
GAUGAACGCUGGCGGCGUGCCUAAUACAUGCAAGUCGAGCGAACGGACGAGAAGCUUGCUUCUCUGAUGUUAGCGGCGGACGGGUGAGUAACACGUGGAUAACCUACCUAUAAGACUGGGAUAACUUCGGGAAACCGUAGCUAAUACCGGAUAAUAUUUUGAACCGCAUGGUUCAAAAGUGAAAGACGGUCUUGCUGUCACUUAUAGAUGGAUCCGCGCUGCAUUAGCUAGUUGGUAAGGUAACGGCUUACCAAGGCAACGAUGCAUAGCCGACCUGAGAGGGUGAUCGGCCACACUGGAACUGAGACACGGUCCAGACUCCUACGGGAGGCAGCAGUAGGGAUUCUUCCGCAAUGGGCGAAAGCCUGACGGAGCAACGCCGCGUGAGUGAUGAAGGUCUUCGGAUCGUAAAACUCUGUUAUUAGGGAAGAACAUAUGUGUAAGUAACUGUGCACAUCUUGACGGUACCUAAUCAGAAAGCCACGGCUAACUACGUG